GUAGGGAAUAUUGCAAAAUGGGCGAAAGCCCGAUGCAGCAACGCCGCGUGGGCGAUGAGGGCCUUCGGGUCGUAAAGCCCUUUUUGAGGGGAUGAGGAAGGACAGUACCCUCAGAAUAAGCCUCGGCUAACUACGUGCCAGCAGCCGCGGUAAAACGUAGGAGGCGAGCGUUAUCCGGAUUUACUGGGCGUAAAGCGCGUGCAGGCGGAUUGGAGAGUUGGAUGUGAAAGCUCCCGGCUUAACUGGGAGAGGUCGUUCAAUACUUCCAGUCUUGAGUGCAGUAGAGGGAAGUGGAAUUCCGGGUGUAGUGGUGAAAUGCGUAGAUAUCCGGAGGAACACCAGUGGCGAAAGCGGCUUCCUGGACUGUAACUGACGCUCAGACGCGAAAGCUAGGGUAGCAAACG
RNAcentral lists this ribosomal RNA (404 nucleotides) under uncultured bacterium. RNAcentral describes it as "bacterial SSU rRNA". It matches the Rfam family "Bacterial small subunit ribosomal RNA", at positions 354 to 774 of the family's 1533-position model. The record is from RNAcentral.